Molecule: unclassified non-coding RNA, 316 nt
Filed under: Hevea brasiliensis (rubber tree)
Lineage: Eukaryota; Viridiplantae; Streptophyta; Magnoliopsida; Malpighiales; Euphorbiaceae
Source: RNAcentral
GAAGAAAUUAGGGUUUUCGAAUCGCGAAUCUCAUGCCCAAUCCAAAUUCAAAUUACUCCCAAGGACAAGGAACAGUUGGGCUGUACCAGAUUAUCCCAAAAUUUGGCCAAAAAUCCCAAAAGUUGAAAGGGACGCGGACGAGUGUGAUCAACCUCCCGUCCUUGGAGCUCGACGUAGCGUCAUCCUGCAUCCUCAAGGACGAUCCUGCAGGCUUGGAGGUGCUGUUGGAAUCGUACAAGCGCAGAAAGGAGAAAGGGACAAAGGAUUGCAAUGCUUCGCCUGCGCGCGCGGGUGUCGCCCACGCGACGGAUUUUCG